This is a long non-coding RNA of Hemiscyllium ocellatum (epaulette shark), 1148 nucleotides long. RefSeq lists it as uncharacterized. The transcript is spliced from 3 exons. The record is from RefSeq and is a predicted model, not a curated record. NCBI's taxonomy places the organism in Eukaryota, Metazoa, Chordata, Chondrichthyes, Orectolobiformes, Hemiscylliidae.
ACCCAACAGGGGAGAUGUGGAAAGAGAUUCUUCCACACUGAAUUCCUGGUUGAUGGACCUCAGAAAAAGGUGUAUGCCAUUUCUGACAGAUGUGAAUGGUAAUUUCAGUUUCAUGAACGGUGGAUGACAUUGGAAUACACAAAUGCUGAAUUCGAUGUUUUUAAUACAAUUUACCAAAUAUGCCAGAUUCUGAAAUCCUAAGGACUUGUACUUUCAUUCAGUUAAGCUCCAAGAUGAAAGCAAACAGACAUCAAGGAUGGAAGAUCACCUUUACCUGGAUACAAGCCGUGAUCCAAUAUCAAAUGGUGAAGAUUUUGGCAACAUUCCUGAAAAUUGCAAGGUGGGGCAGGCAAGGAUGAGACAGCAACUCAGUCUCCAGUUUUACUUCAUCGGAAGGGUCAGGUUAAUAGGGAAUUAAAAUGUGUGGAAAAUUUGCAUCAUGAAAGAUCGCUCUGGAAUGCAAGUUAAGACUGAGAAAAGAAAAAUAACAGAAGGAAAUCCUCAAGAUCUCGGAAAUAUUUUGUCCUUUUUGUUCUUCAAUCAGUCCAAUGUAUAAUUUGUUUUGUCUUCAUGUAAAUGGCUCCUGAUGUUUAAUGUUAUCACACUUUUGUUUCUAGUUCCAAUAGUAAUUAAAUGUCUCAAGUUAUGCAAAUGCAGGAAAUGUCUUCAAAAUAUUGCUCCCCGUUGUAUUAAGAUGCAAUUUCCAAAAGAUUGUCAGGAGUAAGGAGAAAACUUAAUGUGCUCUGAAAAGGUUGAAGAUUAAGAACUCAUUUCCCUCAUGUAGAAAAUUUCCCUCAUGCAUGGUUGGAAGAAUAUUGUUUAGAGCACUCUAGUUGAAACCAGGUAUAAAUACCCCUGCUUUGCUGGGGUUUUUUGUAUUAACAGAUUAAUACCAAAGUUCAAACAUUAGAAAUUAUAUUUUACAUGAAAUUUACAAGAUCAGUACAGAGUUGGGGUUUUACAUGAGAACAAAACUUUUGCAACAAUCACAUUCCUUAAGUUGUCAUUUUUGGUAAUAUUUGCAACAUAGUUAGGCACAUUGGUUGUUGAUAUACAACAUAAUGAAUAGCAAGGCACAUUCUGGAGAUGUAUGUAGUGUAAAAUGUUCAUUUUUUAAACAUGCAAGAUUAUAUAGUUCCUGUAUCAUA